UUCGCAAUGCCCGAAAGGGUGACGAAGCGACGCCGCGUGGGUGAGGAAGGCCUUCGGGUUGUAAAGCCCUGUCAGGAGUUAAGAAAUGUAGGUGCGCUAAUAUCGCAUUUACUUGACGAAGGCUCCAAAGGAAGUCACGGCUAACUCUGUGCCAGCAGCCGCGGUAAUACAGAGGUGGCAAGCGUUGUUCGGAAUUAUUGGGCGUAAAGAGCACGUAGGUGGGUUUGUAAGUCAGAUGUGAAAGCCUUCUGUUCAACGGGAGAAUUGCAUCUGAAACUACAGACCUUGAGUAUAGGAGGGGAGAAUGGAACUUCUGGUGGAGCGGUGAAAUGCGUAGAUAUCAGAAGGAACGCCGGCGGCGAAAGCGAUUCUCUGGCCUAUUACUGACACUCAGUGUGCGAAAGCUAGGGGAGCAAACGGGAUUAGAUACCCCGGUAGUCCUAGCCGUAAACGAUGGGCACUAAGUAGAGGGGUUUU
RNAcentral lists this ribosomal RNA (477 nucleotides) under Candidatus Scalindua brodae. RNAcentral's name for it is "bacterial SSU rRNA". It matches the Rfam family "Bacterial small subunit ribosomal RNA", at positions 365 to 832 of the family's 1533-position model. The record is from RNAcentral. Lineage: Bacteria; Pseudomonadati; Planctomycetota; Candidatus Brocadiia; Candidatus Brocadiales; Candidatus Scalinduaceae.